Molecule: ribosomal RNA, 497 nt
Filed under: uncultured bacterium
Lineage: Bacteria
Description: partial 16S ribosomal RNA
Rfam family: Bacterial small subunit ribosomal RNA
Source: RNAcentral
GAUGAACGCUGGCGGCGUGCCUAAUACAUGCAAGUCGAGCGAACGGACGAGAAGCUUGCUUCUCUGAUGUUAGCGGCGGACGGGUGAGUAACACGUGGAUAACCUACCUAUAAGACUGGGAUAACUUCGGGAAACCGGAGCUAAUACCGGAUGAUAUUUUGAACCGCAUGGUUCAAAAGUGAAAGACGGUCUUGCUGUCACUUAUAGAUGGAUCCGCGCUGCAUUAGCUAGUUGGUAAGGUAACGGCUUACCAAGGCAACGAUGCAUAGCCGACCUGAGAGGGUGAUCGGCCACACUGGAACUGAGACACGGUCCAGACUCCUACGGGAGGCAGCAGUAGGGAAUCUUACGGAAUGGGCGAAAGCCUGACGGAGCAACGCCGCGUGAGUGAUGAAGGUCUUCGGAUCGUAAAACUCUGUUAUUAGGGAAGAACAUAUGUGUAAGUAACUGUGCACAUCUUGACGGUACCUAAUCAGAAAGCCACGGCUAACUACGUG